RNAcentral lists this ribosomal RNA (399 nucleotides) under uncultured soil bacterium. RNAcentral describes it as "bacterial SSU rRNA". It matches the Rfam family "Bacterial small subunit ribosomal RNA", at positions 26 to 441 of the family's 1533-position model. The record is from RNAcentral.
AGAGCGAACGCUGGCGGCAGGCCUAACACAUGCAAGUCGAACGGACUCUUCGGAGUUAGUGGCGGACGGGUGAGUAACACGUGGGAACGUGCCUUUAGGUUCGGAAUGGCUCCUGGAAACGGGUGGUAAUACCGAAUGUGCCCUUCGGGGGAAAGAUUUAUCGCCUUUAGAGCGGCCCGCGUCUGAUUAGCUUGUUGGUGAGGUAAUGGCUCACCAAGGCUACGAUCAGUAGCUGGUCUGAGAGGAUGACCAGCCACAUUGGGACUGAGACACGGCCCAAACUCCGUACGGGAGGCAGCGAGGUGGGGAAUCGUUGCGCAAGUGGGCGAAAGCCGUGACGCACGACCAUGGUCGCGUGUAUGAUAGGAGGUCGUAGGUAUUAGUAAAUUACUUCACGGU